UCCGGUUUGGCACCGGCAGUCUCCUAUGAGUCCCCGGCAUGACCCGCUGGCAACAUAGGACAGGGGUUGCGCUCGUUGCGCCACUUAAGGCAACACCUCACGGCACGAGCUGACGACGACCAUGCAGCACCUGUGCGGGCUCCCGAAGGAGGACCGGCUUUCGCCGGCUUCACCCCGCAUGUCAAGCCCUGGUAAGGUUCUUCGCGUCGCGUCGAAUUAAGCCACAUGCUCCGCCGCUUGUGCGGGCCCCCGUCAAUUCCUUUGAGUUUUAACCUUGCGGCCGUACUCCCCAGGCGGGGUGCUUAAUGCGUUAGCUACGUUGCCGCAGGGGUCAAUACCCGCGACGACUAGCAUCCAUCGUUUACGGCGUGGACUAC
Molecule: unclassified non-coding RNA, 377 nt
Filed under: uncultured Actinomycetes bacterium
Lineage: Bacteria; Bacillati; Actinomycetota; Actinomycetes
Description: uncultured actinobacterium contains 16S-23S intergenic spacer region
Source: RNAcentral